AACAUGGUGGGAACCAAUCAUGUCAUUGCUAUGAGUUUAUGCAGUAGUUCUGAAACUAGUCCUGCACUGUGCAAAGCCCCUAUACCCAACAUAACCAAAGGAAGUGUCAUAAACCAAUACAUUGACAUAGAAAAUAAACUAUCUAUAUUACAUCUCAUUUACCUCACCUGAUCUCAUCUCAUAUCAUCUGAUCUCAUAUCAUCUGAUCUUUCCUUCUCGAAGGUCACAGGGUAAUUCCAUUCACCCAUUUAGUGGAGAUCAUCGGAUUCAACCAUCAAAGAAUGAAUUCUACUGCUUUACAGCUGAGCACCUCUGCACAGUCUUCAUGGACAAGUAUGGUAUCCAACAGUACCCCAUACCUGGAUACUUUUACAUCUUCCAG
Molecule: non-coding RNA, 382 nt
Organism: Misgurnus anguillicaudatus (oriental weatherfish)
Lineage: Eukaryota; Metazoa; Chordata; Actinopteri; Cypriniformes; Cobitidae
Source: RefSeq, a predicted model, not a curated record